GAUGAACGCUGGCGGCGUGCCUAAUACAUGCAAGUCGAGCGAAUAGAUGAGGAGCUUGCUCCUCUGACGUUAGCGGCGGACGGGUGAGUAACACGUGGAUAACCUACCUAUAAGACUGGGAUAACUUCGGGAAACCGGAGCUAAUACCGGAUAAUAUAUUGAACCGCAUGGUUCAAUAGUGAAAGACGGUUUUGCUGUCACUUAUAGAUGGAUCCGCGCCGCAUUAGCUAGUUGGUAAGGUAACGGCUUACCAAGGCAACGAUGCGUGGCCGACCUGAGAGGGUGAUCGGCCACACUGGAACUGAGACACGGUCCAGACUCCUACGGGAGGCAGCAGUAGGGAAUCUUCCGCAAUGGGCGAAAGCCUGACGGAGCAACGCCGCGUGAGUGAUGAAGGUCUUCGGAUCGUAAAACUCUGUUAUUAGGGAAGAACAAAUGUGUAAGUAACUAUGCACGUCUUGACGGUACCUAAUCAGAAAGCCACGGCUAACUACGUG
This 497-nucleotide ribosomal RNA is filed under the name uncultured bacterium. RNAcentral describes it as "partial 16S ribosomal RNA". It matches the Rfam family "Bacterial small subunit ribosomal RNA", at positions 28 to 507 of the family's 1533-position model. The record is from RNAcentral.